AGUGAACGCUGGCGGUAGGCCAAACACAUGCAAGUCGAACGGCAGCACAGGAGAGCUUGCUCUCUGGGUGGCGAGUGGCGGACGGGUGAGGAAUACAUCGGAACCUACUUUUUCGCGGGGGAUAACGCUGGGAAACUUACGCUAAUACGGCAUACGACCUACGGGUGAAAGCAGGUGAUCUUCGGACCUGGCGCCAUUGAAUGAGCCGAUGUCGGAUUAGCUAGUUGGCGGGGUAAAGGCCCACCAAGGCGACGAUCCGUAGCUGGUCUGAGAGGAUGAUCAGACACACUGGAACUGAGACACGGUCCAGACUCCUACGGGAGGAAGGAGUGGAGAAUAUUGGACAAUGGGCGCAAGCCUGAUCCAGCCAUACCGCGUGGGUGAAGAAGGCAUUCGGGUUGUAAAGCCCUUUUGUUGGGAAAGAAAUCCAGCUGGUUAAUACCCGGUUGGGAUGACGGUACCCAAAGAAUAAGCAACGGCUAACUUCGUGCCAGCCGCCGCAGUAA
This 506-nucleotide ribosomal RNA is filed under the name uncultured bacterium. RNAcentral describes it as "partial 16S ribosomal RNA". It matches the Rfam family "Bacterial small subunit ribosomal RNA", at positions 29 to 523 of the family's 1533-position model. The record is from RNAcentral.